Molecule: ribosomal RNA, 263 nt
Filed under: uncultured bacterium
Lineage: Bacteria
Description: partial 16S ribosomal RNA
Rfam family: Bacterial small subunit ribosomal RNA
Source: RNAcentral
UUGGCGGGGUAACGGCCCACCAAGGCGACGAUGCGUAGCCGACCUGAGAGGGUGACCGGCCACACUGGGACUGAGACACGGCCCAGACUCCUACGGGAGGCAGCAGUAGGGAAUUUUCGGCAAUGGGGGAAACCCUGACCGAGCAACGCCGCGUGAAGGAAGAAGGUUUUCGGAUUGUAAACUUCUGUUAUAAAGGAAGAACGGCGGCUACAGGAAAUGGUAGCCGAGUGACGGUACUUUAUUAGAAAGCCACGGCUAACUAC